CAGGAAUGUUCUGUCCUUCCCAAAUAGGAAGAAACACUUGGAAAUAACACGGGAUUCUGGGCUCAACAAUACGGAGGGCAGAGGCUGCUGUGGAGUUCAAGGAAAAGCAAAGGGCUUAAGUUCUCUGCGAGGUUUGCUCUGGAAGGGCUGGCGGAAAGGAUUCGGGAGGUGCCCUCGCUGAUCCCCACGGCAUCCCUUGUUCGGGGCAGGAAUGCCGAGUGCGUCCCUGGCCCUGCUCCUCCCUGGAUCCCAGCUUUGGGAAGGAGCCCUUGAGCUCUGACGUGGAGCCAGAUUUGUUUUCUCAGUGUGAUCCAGCCGCGUGUCGGAAUCCACUCCAGUGGCAGACAGGAACGGGACAUCAGGACACUCUGCUGGUUGGAUUUCUCUUGCACUUGAGGUUUUAUUAUCUCCUGUGACCUAAAAACCAGCCUUUUAUUAAAAAAAGAGAGGGAAUGUGUUCCCAGAGGGUCUGUGUUGAUG
RNAcentral lists this long non-coding RNA (480 nucleotides) under Zonotrichia albicollis (white-throated sparrow). RNAcentral describes it as "lncRNA (ENSZALG00000004744.1)". Lineage: Eukaryota; Metazoa; Chordata; Aves; Passeriformes; Passerellidae. The record is from RNAcentral.